Molecule: ribosomal RNA, 440 nt
Filed under: uncultured bacterium
Lineage: Bacteria
Description: partial 16S ribosomal RNA
Rfam family: Bacterial small subunit ribosomal RNA
Source: RNAcentral
CCUACGGGUGGCUGCAGUGGGGAAUAUUGCACAAUGGGGGAAACCCUGAUGCAGCGACGCCGCGUGAGUGAAGAAGUAUCUCGGUACGUAAAGCUCUAUCAGCAGGAAAGAAAAUGACGGUACCUGACUAAGAAUCCCCGGCUAACUACGUGCCAGCAGCCGCGGUAAUACGUAGGGGGCAAGCGUUAUCCGGAUUUACUGGGUGUAAAGGGAGCGUAGACGGCGCGGCAAGUCCGGAGUGAAAGCCCCUGGCUUAACCACGGUACUGCUCUGGAAACUGUAGAGCUGGAGUGCGGGAGGGGCAGGCGGAAUUCCUAGUGUAGCGGUGAAAUGCGUAGAUAUUAGGAGGAACACCGGCGGCGAAGGCGGCCUGCUGGACCGUAACUGACGUUGAGGCUCGAAAGCGUGGGGAGCAAACAGGAUUAGAUACCCGUGUAGUC